This is a non-coding RNA of Rhea pennata, 390 nucleotides long. The record is from the annotation of a RefSeq genome assembly. Lineage: Eukaryota; Metazoa; Chordata; Aves; Rheiformes; Rheidae.
CCGCCCGCAGGCAGCAUGUUGCUGCUGCCAGUCCUUCUGGUAGCUUCGUUUUGGUCUUGUGGAGACGCACAAGCAAUCCCGGUACAAACGCCAGAGUUGGUGACGAGGAUGGAGCGCAGCUCAGCCAGUAUAGAAUGCAGCAUGAGCAGUGAAGACAUUGUUCACUGGUACCACCAGCGUGCUGGACAGCCACCGAAGAGGAUUCUGUAUGUGUCAGGACAGUCACCUACGUUUGAUGACAGUUCCAGUAGCCGGAAGUAUAACGUUCAGAAAGAUUCUAGCGAGCCCCGAUAUACUCUCAUAAUAGCUUAUUUAACCCCAAAGGAUUCUGGCCUUUAUUACUGUGCCUAUUGGCCUUCUUUUCCUUUCAGUCACUACAAACUCCUGUAA